UUAAAACUGGUGCUACUCGAC
RNAcentral lists this non-coding RNA (21 nucleotides) under Arabidopsis thaliana (thale cress). The record is from RNAcentral. Lineage: Eukaryota; Viridiplantae; Streptophyta; Magnoliopsida; Brassicales; Brassicaceae.